ACCAAAAGAAUAGCUAUGUGGU
RNAcentral lists this microRNA (22 nucleotides) under Physcomitrium patens. RNAcentral describes it as "ppt-miR1079-3p". The record is from miRBase by way of RNAcentral. Lineage: Eukaryota; Viridiplantae; Streptophyta; Bryopsida; Funariales; Funariaceae.